This 192-nucleotide ribosomal RNA is filed under the name Clostridioides difficile. RNAcentral's name for it is "partial 16S ribosomal RNA". It matches the Rfam family "Bacterial small subunit ribosomal RNA", at positions 1 to 198 of the family's 1533-position model. The record is from RNAcentral. Lineage: Bacteria; Bacillati; Bacillota; Clostridia; Peptostreptococcales; Peptostreptococcaceae.
UUUUAUUUGAGAGUUUGAUCCUGGCUCAGGAUGAACGCUGGCGGCGUGCCUAACACAUGCAAGUUGAGCGAUUUACUUCGGUAAAGAGCAGCGGACGGGUGAGUAACGCGUGGGUAACCUACCCUGUACACACGGAUAACAUACCGAAAGGUAUGCUAAUACGGGAUAAUAUAUUUGAGAGGCAUCUCUUAA